UACCUUUAAAAUUGAAAUAGGCUAUAUCCCCAUAAAAGUUGUUUGUGAUAUUAAUUCCUUCAUUAUCAAUUGACCCAAGUCCAACAAGUACCAGCUGUAUAUAGAUAAGAGAAAGAAGGAGUGAGAGCUUUCAAUUACAUGAAGCAAUGAAGGAAUUAGAUGGGGCUUUUAUUAUUGGCAGUGAAGAGAAUGAAUGUGUUAUUAUCUUUUGUAACAAAUUCCAACAAUGAUGGGUGGGUGGAAGUUGGGGCAAGGCAGUUAACACAGCUACCAUUUG
RNAcentral lists this long non-coding RNA (277 nucleotides) under Nicotiana benthamiana. RNAcentral's name for it is "long non-coding RNA (NBEN_LNC026855)". Lineage: Eukaryota; Viridiplantae; Streptophyta; Magnoliopsida; Solanales; Solanaceae. The record is from RNAcentral.